CCCAGCGAGAAGCGGUAAAUAUUCUGCUCUUAAAAGAAGCAUUCAGUCACACUCUCUAACACUGCCUGUGCCACAUUUACUAUGCCGCCCUAACUUCAUGAGGAUUUAUUUUAUAAUGAUGAAAGCACCAAAAGCAGACGAAUAAGAAAGAUGGCAGAAUAAAUACAGAAGAUAUCAUGAGUAAUGCUUCCAACAUUGAAGAGGAGGAUGAUGAAGUGGACAAUGAAAACUCCUCCACAACUAGCCUGUUGUGUGCUGACAUUCAAGAGAACGAGGAAGACCUGUCAUAUUCCGAAGGGAACAUGCUUGAUUCUGCCAGGAGUGAAUAUGAAAACGAUGUGGUGGAGGGCAGUACUAGUGGAGAAAACGCAUCUGAAUUCUCAGUGGGCAGUGAAGAUAAAGCAGUUACUGGUGACAAGCCCUUGUAUCCUGGUGCACCUCUUUCAAAAGGAGAAAGUGUAUUGAUGUUGAUGUCCUAUCUGUUACAGCAUAAUUUAACUGGCAAAGCACUUACUGGAAAUGUUUAACAUAAUGUUUCCAGGUCUGAUCCCAUCUUCACAUUAACUUUUCCACAAAGAAUUUGGAAGUUCGUCUAAAUUUGAAGUUCACUUUUAUUGUGAAAGCAGUUUAAAAUACCUUGGCAUUAGAGUAGACCAUCCAUCUCAGUGUGACUCUUGCAACACAGUAAUUGACGCCAAUGCAAACCUAAAGAAUGGAUUCUUUUUUCUUGUGCUGCCCCUGUAUGCACAGAUUUAGCAACUUCUGCAAGAACAUGGUGUCAGUAUUAAUGAAAAAACUAGAACCUUUGGGGUUCUCUCUGACAUACAGUCUGGUGAAGAGUAUCAAAUGUUAUGUGACAGUGGAGUUCUUGGAAAAAGUUGAUUUGACACUAAUUUGGAAUUGUGAUGGCGCACCAGUGUUCAAAAGUUGUAAAUGCAGCAUUUGGCCAAUUCAGUGUCAGGUAAUUGAACUGGAACCGGAAGUGAGGCAAAAAGCACAUUUUGAUGUGAGCGUUAUGGUUUGGGCCAAGUAAACCAUCCAUGUUAACAUUACUAACACAAUUUGUUAAAGAAGCCUCAUUAGAGACUGAAGGUAUUGACUGGCAAGACAUACAGGGAAACUGGCAUGUUUCUAAAGUGUUUGUGCUGGUUUGUAGCGCUGAGUCGGUGGCUCGUCCAGUGCUUCGUAACAAAGCAAUUUAAUGGUUUUUAUGGUUGUGACUUUUAUCACAAAGGUUGUGACGAGGAAUGAGGAUCUAAAUGCAGCUUUAAUGAAAAACAAAAAGAUGAACAAAGUAAUUCAGAAUAAAAUGAAACAAAAACACAGGAAACCAGGCACAGAAAAUGACAACACAUGUAAAGAUGAACAAAGAAACCAAGGGCUUAAAUACACAAGGGAACGAGGAACACCUGGGGAAAACCAAUCAAAAAAUGAAAAUACAAAAAGGGCUACAAACUAACAGGAACUAAACAAGAAUUUCAACAAGUCAAUAGAAAAAACAGGGAAUAUGUGACAGAGCCCCCCCCUUUUAAGGAGCAGAUUCCAGAUGCUCCAAAAAACUAAAAGUCCAAGGAGUGUGGGGGAAAACAGGUAGUUCAGGGGGGCACAAGGGGUAACAGGCAGUUCAAGGGGGCACAAGGGGAGCAGAGGAACAAGGCAAAGUCAGGGUGGCUUGAAAUUAAGGCAGAGCCAGAGGUAUGGAGGGCCAGGGUGACGCUGCAGGCUCUGAUGACCAAGCUGGAGCCAGAGGUUCAGAGGGCUGAGCUGGAGCCAGAGGUUCAGAGGGCUGAGCUGGAGCUGGGGGCUCGGAAGACCAAGGCGGAGCUGGGGGGAGUGAGGACCAAGGAGACCAGGGCAGAUCAGGCGGACGGCCAGGAGACCAGGGCAGAUCAGGCGGACGGCCAGGAGACCAGGCGGACAGCCAGGAGACCAGGGCAGAUCAGAGCAGAUCAGGCAGAUGGCCAGGAGACCAAGGAGAUGACCUCAAGGUGGGGACUGAGUCAGGAGUCCUGGGAGGCAGCAGCAGGUCCGAGACAGGGUCAGGAGGCAGAGCCACUGGAGGAAUAGUCUCUGGGGGAGCGGGUGGAGCCGUGGCAGACUCGAAGGGCGAAGCCGUGGAAGUCAGAGCCGUGGCAGACUCGAGGGGCGAAGCCGUGGAAGUCAGAGCCGUGGCAGACUUGAGACAAAGAGUCCUGGAUGAAUAGGAAAUGACCUCCAUGGUACGGGAGGACGACGAGGGACGGACGAGGCUGGCAACGUGUUGGCCAUGGCAGGCGUGGGCUCGUUGGCUGUGGACAAUUUUUGAGGUAGGGUCUUCAUGGACCUACGCACUGACAUCAGUGGUAGAUCAUACAACUUGGAGAUAGGUGCCAUGGAAGGCUUCGAGACGGGCCGUGGAAGGCUUGACAAGGGAGCCAAAGACGCAGGUUUUGGCCCGGGGUUCCCACCAUAAUCCACUGUAUAAAGGGAACUGCAAAGUUCCAGAGCCUUCUCCACAUAUUCGCAGAGUGUCCAGUGAGGAUCAGCCAGAGGCAUCAGUUCCCUAAGUGCACUAUUCAGACCAGCCCGGAAGAAAACCACCAGAGAGCGGUCUGGACAGUGCACUACAUUUGCCAGCUCUAGAAACUCACGGACGUGAUCCUCAACUGGACGGUCCCCUUGCUGAAGGAGCAGAAUUCUGACGGCCGCUAGAUCCAUUUUUAGGUCAGUCUUUCUGUGACGAGGCAGACGAGGAAUGAGGAUCUAAAUGCGGCUUUAACGAAAAACAAAAAUGAACAAAGUAACUCAGAAUAAAAUGAAACAAAAACACGGGAAACCAGACACGGGAAACCAGACACGGGAAACCAGACAACACAUUUAAAAACUGACAAAGAAACCAGGGGAAAACAAGGGCUUAAAUACACAAGGGCAAACAAGGGAACGAGGAACACCUGGGGAAAACAAUCAGGGGAAAACCAAUCAAAAAAUGAAACUACUAAAGGACUACAAACUAACAGGAAACAGGAACUAAACAAGAAUUUCAACAUAAAAGUCAAUACAAAAACAGGGAAUAUGUGACAAAGUGGUAUAUCCUAUCCAUACAGUCAACCUGAACCCCCACUUCGAAAUUAGAGAGAUAAUUUCAGUCAUGCAGUGUCAGCUUCAGGUAAUGAGCCAGUGUUUAGAGUCAAAGGGCCAUCUCUUUUAAUGAAGCUUAGUCAUUUCCAAAUGAUAAGUGGUUUCAUUCCUGAAUAUAAACACAAUGUGUGCCUUGGAGUCAGUCGGCAACUGUCCACAUUGUGAUUUGAUACAGCAAACAGUGAAGCCCCCUGGUACAUUGGCAAACAGAUUGAAGAGGUUGAUUUGCGACUUGAAAAAUAAAACCUACUGUUAACUAGGACACCAAGGUCAAUGAGUGAAAGGAAGUUCUGGAAAGCUGGAAAGCAGAGUGGCGAGCAUUUCUCCUCUUUUAUGCUCUGCCUGUAUUGAAAGUCAUACUCCCGGCCAGAUUUUGGAAUAAUUUGUUCCUAUUGGUGUUUGGCAUAUAUAAAUUACUGCAGGAUAAGAUCAAGACUAGAAGCAUCUUGUUGUCAGAACUGGCUCUCAAAAAAUUUGUCAUUGAAUUUCAAAGACUGUAUGGGAAAGACCACAUGACUUUCAACAUACGCUUGCUCACACAUGUCGCACAAUGUGUGAAACACUGGGGGCCAUUAUGGGCUAUGUCAGCCUUUCCAAUUGAAUCCAUUAUUGGCACUCUUUUGAAGUAUUUUCACGGAACACAGUUUGUCCCUUCACAAAUAGCUAGAAAAUGUCUGUUGUGGAGAGAAUUGCAAGAAAAGGCCAAACAUACUAUCACAAGUGCAAAGGUCCAGUCAUUUGUUGAAGAACUUUAUUUUAAUAAGCAAAAAACAGAUAAAUGUGAAAUAUUAAAUGAAAGUGUCAAGGGUUUUGGGCAUCCCCCAUUGCAGGAAAAUAUCACAUAUACGUAUAUAUUCAUAUAGGCUUGCCAUUGCUAAGUUAUGUGGAAAUCUAUGUAACUGUUUCUGGUCUUACAACAGUUUCUUGGUUAAUGGAGUUCUGUAUCACACUCAAAAAUAUGACCUACUUAAGAAAAGACACAACAGUGCUGUAUACUUGAAAGAUGGUACAUUCUGUUUAAUUAAUGACUUCUGUCAUUUUUAAACAAACGUGUGCACAUCAAAGCCCUGCAUAUUGUGCAUGUACCAAAUAUUGCUGUGUUUUAGUUGAGGUACUUGUUAAAUCUAGCAGGCCUUUAUGUAAAGAUUCACUAAUAAAUGUACAGAGUACUUUUGUGCAUGAGGUUAGGAAGACUGGAAACAUCAGUGCCAUCUGGCCUGAUAUGAUAACAAUGAAAUGUGUUGUUGAAACAGUUGACAAUUUGUACAUUACACCUUUGCCAAAUCAAUAUGUACGGGACUAAAAGAGCAGUCAUGAGUCAUAUCACUACUCCAGUGUUGUAGCCAAUGAUUUAUGUAUUACAUAAAAAGACUUGCUUCUUUUCCUAUUUGGCUUGAUGUUUUGUAAUGGAAUUUUAUCUUCUGGUAAUGGCUUAUUAUAGAAGCCAGUAUGAAUCAAGUCUGUUACAAUACUCUUACACCUUGGAAGAAUUGUUAGUAAAAU
This is a long non-coding RNA of Myxocyprinus asiaticus (Chinese sucker), 4620 nucleotides long. RefSeq lists it as uncharacterized. The transcript has 4 exons. Lineage: Eukaryota; Metazoa; Chordata; Actinopteri; Cypriniformes; Catostomidae. The record is from RefSeq and is a predicted model, not a curated record.